Molecule: non-coding RNA, 21 nt
Filed under: Arabidopsis thaliana (thale cress)
Lineage: Eukaryota; Viridiplantae; Streptophyta; Magnoliopsida; Brassicales; Brassicaceae
Source: RNAcentral
CGCCUAUACUCUUCCAUCUCC